UCAGGAUUCUGAGGGCACCCAUAGCCCUUAAUGGCUUUCAUCAGCCUCGCCUGGGGCCCACCCCAUCCCAGCCCGUGGGCCUUGGAGCCCGCUUUCUGCUCAGCCUAGACUAUGUCCUGGUUUCAGCUGGGACAGAGUUAAUUUUCUUCAUGGUGGCUGGUAUUUCUGAAAAGGAGCUAUGUAAACCUCAAACUUGUAUGCAUGAACUACAUAUAGCUAGAGCUACCAGCUGCAUGCAGAUAUUUAGCCACCUCAGCACACCUGACAGUAUCUCUGCCUCAAAAAGUAUGCGGGGGAACUGGAGAAGAUUCAGAGAAGGUCAACAAGGAUGAUCAACAGCGUAAAGCAGGUAAGCAACCAAUUAAGCUAGGACUUUUCAGGAAAGGAAAGAUACACACCUACAUACAAAAGAAGAUUAUAAAAUGAUGAUACAGGAAGAGUGUGGAUAGAGAUUGAUUAUCUCUACCUUUUCCAGUACAAUAAAGUCAGAUAAAGCUGGAGGAGCA
Molecule: long non-coding RNA, 506 nt
Filed under: Anas platyrhynchos platyrhynchos (common mallard)
Lineage: Eukaryota; Metazoa; Chordata; Aves; Anseriformes; Anatidae
Description: lncRNA (ENSAPLG00000030675.1)
Source: RNAcentral